This 974-nucleotide ribosomal RNA is filed under the name bacterium EFC010. RNAcentral's name for it is "bacterial SSU rRNA". It matches the Rfam family "Bacterial small subunit ribosomal RNA", at positions 20 to 1021 of the family's 1533-position model. The record is from RNAcentral.
UGGCAGGGGAUCGGUCCUAGGAGUUCGCUCAGUCGAGCGGAAGGCCCUUCGGGGUACUCGAGCGGCGAACGGGUGAGUAACUUGUGAGUAAUCUGCCCCAGGCUCUGGGAUAGCCACCGGAAACGGUGAUUAAUACCGGAUACUACAACCGAUUGCUUGAUCUGGUUGUGGAAAGUUUUUCGGCCUGGGAUGUGCUCGCGGCCUAUCAGCUUGUUGGUGAGGUAAUGGCUCACCAAGGCUUCGACGGGUAGCCGGCCUGAGAGGGUGACCGGCCACACUGGGACUGAGACACGGCCCUACUCCUACGGGAGGUUCAGUGGGGAAUAUUGGACAAUGGGCGGAAACCUGAUCCAGCAACGCCGCGUGAGGGAUGACGGCCUUCGGGUUGUAAACCUCUUUCAGCACAGACGAACCGCAAGUGACGGUAUGUGCAGAAGAAGGACCGGCCAACUACGUGCCAGCAGCCGCGGUAAUACGUAGGGUCCGAGCGUUGUCCGGAAUUAUUGGGCGUAAAGGGCUCGUAGGCGGUCUGUCGCGUCUGGAGUGAAAACCAGGUGCUUAACACCUGGCCUGCUUUCGAUACGGGCAGACUAGAGGUACUCAGGGGAGAAUGGAAUUCCUGGUGUAGCGGUGAAAUGCGCAGAUCUCAGGAGGAACACCGGUGGCGAAGGCGGUUCUCUGGGAGUAUCCUGACGCUGAUGAGCGAAAGUGUGGGGGACGAACAGGAUUAGAUACCCUGGUAGUCCACACCGUAAACGUUGGGCGCUAGGUGUGGGGAUCCAUUCCACGGGUUCCGUGCCGCAAUCUAAUGCAUUAAGCGCCCCGCCUGGGGAGCACGGCCGCAGGGCUAAACUCGAAGGAAUUGACUGCGGGCCCGAGAAGCGGCGGAGCAUGAGGAUUAAUUCGAUGCAACGCGAACAACCUUACCUGGGUAUGACAUACCCCGGAAAGCCGUAGAGAACGGCCCCUUUUAU